This 329-nucleotide unclassified non-coding RNA is filed under the name soil metagenome. RNAcentral describes it as "partial contains 5.8S ribosomal RNA, internal transcribed spacer 2, and large subunit ribosomal RNA". The stretch from base 1 to 120 matches the Rfam family "5.8S ribosomal RNA", at positions 35 to 154 of the family's 154-position model. The record is from RNAcentral.
GAUGAAGAACGUAGCGAAAUGCGAUAAGUAAUGUGAAUUGCAGAAUUCCGUGAAUCAUCGAAUCUUUGAACGCACAUUGCGCCCCCUGGUAUUCCGGGGGGCAUGCCUGUCCGAGCGUCAUUACAACCCUCAAGCUCAGCUUGGUGUUGGGCCCCGCCGCCCCGGCGGGCCCUAAAGUCAGUGGCGGUGGCGUCCGGCUCCGAGCGUAGUAAUUCUUCUCGCUCUGGAGGUCCGGUCGUGUGCUCGCCAGCAACCCCCAAUUUUUUUCAGGUUGACCUCGGAUCAGGUAGGGAUACCCGCUGAACUUAAGCAUAUCAAUAAGCGGAGGA